CGUGAAGCUGGAUUCGCUAGUAAUCGCGCAUCAGCCAUGGCGCGGUGAAUACGUUCCCGGGCCUUGUACACACCGCCCGUCAAGCCAUGGGAGCCGGGAGCGCUUGAAGUGCGUCGCCGCGAGGCGCGCCCUAGAGCGAGACCGGUGACUGGGGCUAAGUCGUAACAAGGUAGC
RNAcentral lists this ribosomal RNA (174 nucleotides) under uncultured bacterium. RNAcentral's name for it is "partial 16S ribosomal RNA". It matches the Rfam family "Bacterial small subunit ribosomal RNA", at positions 1319 to 1500 of the family's 1533-position model. The record is from RNAcentral.